CCUACGGGAGGCAGCAGUGGGGAAUAUUGCACAAUGGGGGGAACCCUGAUGCAGCGACGCCGCGUGAGUGAAGAAGUAUUUCGGUAUGUAAAGCUCUAUCAGCAGGGAAGAAAAUGACGGUACCUGACUAAGAAGCCCCGGCUAACUACGUGCCAGCAGCCGCGGUAAUACGUAGGGGGCAAGCGUUAUCCGGAUUUACUGGGUGUAAAGGGAGCGUAGACGGUUAUGCAAGUCUGAAGUGAAAGCCCAAGGCUCAACCAUGGGACUGCUUUGGAAACUGUAAAACUGGAGUGCAGGAGAGGUAAGCGGAAUUCCUUGUGUAGCGGUGAAAUGCGUAGAUAGAAGGAAGAACACCAGUGGCGAAGGCGGAUGCCUGGACGGCAACUGACGGGGAGGCGCGAAAGCGUGGGGAGCAAACAGGAUUAGAUACCCGGGGAGUC
Molecule: ribosomal RNA, 440 nt
Filed under: uncultured bacterium
Lineage: Bacteria
Description: partial 16S ribosomal RNA
Rfam family: Bacterial small subunit ribosomal RNA
Source: RNAcentral